Carlito syrichta (Philippine tarsier) is the source of this 1717-nucleotide RNA transcript. It is a transcript of the gene named actin, cytoplasmic 2-like, with no coding region annotated. The record is from RefSeq and is a predicted model, not a curated record. NCBI's taxonomy places the organism in Eukaryota, Metazoa, Chordata, Mammalia, Primates, Tarsiidae. The transcript has a single exon.
CGCCGCCGGUCCACACCACUCCAGCUCACCGUGGACGAUGCUGUCGCCGCGCUCGUCGCUGACCACGGCUCCGGCGAGCGCAAGGACGGCUUCGCGGGCGACGACGCCCCCCGGGCCGUCUUCCCUUCCAUCGGGGGACGCCCGCGGCAUCAGGGCGUGACGGUGGGCAUGGGUCAGAAGGACUCCCACGUGGGCGACGAGGCCCAGAGCAAGAGAGGCAUCCUGACCCUGAAGUACCCCAUCGAGCACGGCAUCGUCACCACCUGGGACCACAUGGAGAAGAUCUGGCACCACACCUACAACGAGCUGCGCGUCGCCCCCGAGGAGCACCCCGUGCUGCUGACCGAGGCUCCCUGAACCCCAAGGCCAACCGGGAAAAGAUGACCCAGAUCAUGCUCGAGACCUUCAAUACCCCAACCAUGUAUGUGGCCAUCCAGGCUGUGCUGUCCCUGUACGCCUCUGGCCGCACCACUGGCAUCGCGAUGGACUCUGGGGACAGGGUCACCCGCACUGUGCCCAUCUGCGAGGGGUACGCCCUCCCCCACGCCCUCCUGCGUCUGGACCUGGCUGGCCGGGACCUGACAGACGACCCCAGGAAGAUUCUCACGGAGCGUGGCUACAGCUUCACCCCCACGGCAGAGCGGGAAACUGGGCGUGACAUCAAGGAGAAGCUGUGCUACGUCGCCCUGGACUUCGAGGAGGAGCUGGCCACUGCUGCGUCCUCCUCCUCCCUGGAGAAGAGCUACCAGCUGCCCGACGGCCAGGUGAUCUCCAUCGGCAACGAGCGGUUCCGCGGCCCGGAGGCUCUCUUCCAGCCUUCCUUCCUGGGCCUGGAAUCCUGUGGCUUCCACGAAACCACCUUCAACUCCAUCAUGAAGUGUGAUGUGGACAUCCGCAAGGACCUGUACGCCAACACGGUGCUGUCCGGAGGUACCACCAUGUACCCAGGCAUCGCUGACAGGGUGCAGAAGGAGGUCACUGCCCUGGCGCCCAGCACGAUGAAGAUCAAGAUCAUGGCACCCCCUGAGCGCAAGUACUCCAUGUGGAUUGGCGGCUCCGUCCCGGCCUCGCUGUCCACCUUCCAGCAGAUGUGGAUCAGCAGGCAGGAGUACCACGAGUCCGGCCUCUCCAUCGGGCACCGCUAGUGCUUCUAGGCGGGCUAACGAGUGAUGCCCUUUCUUGACAAACCUAACUUGUGCAGAAAACAAGAUGAGAUCGGCAUAGCUUUAUUUGUUUUUUUUUUGUUGUUGUUGUUUGUUUUUUGUUUUUGGCUUGAUGACUCUCAGGAUUUAAAAACUGGAACGGUGAAGGUGACAGCGAGUUGGGGCGAGCAUCCCCAAAGUUCUACAGUGUGGCCAAGGACUUUGAUUGCACAUUGUUCUUUUUUUUUUAAUAGUCAUUCCAAAUGUCGUGAGAUGCAUUGUUACAGGAAGUCCCUUGCCCUCCCAAAAGCCGCCCCACUUCUCUCUAAGGAGAGUAGCCCAAUUCUCUUCUGGUCCACACGGGGGAGGAAACAGUAUUGCUUUUGUGUAAAUUAUGUAAUGCAAAUUUUUUUAAUCUUCGCCUUAAUACUUUUUUAUUUGUUUUAUUUUGAAUGAUCAGCCACCGUGGCCCCCUCUUUGUGUCCCCGACUUGAGAUGUAUGAAGGCUUUUGGUCUCCCUGGGAGUGGAUGGAGGUGUGGAGGCGGCCAGAACUUACCUGUACACUGACUUGAGA